Long non-coding RNA from Mustela erminea (ermine), 86 nucleotides. RefSeq lists it as uncharacterized. The transcript has 3 exons. The record is from RefSeq and is a predicted model, not a curated record. Lineage: Eukaryota; Metazoa; Chordata; Mammalia; Carnivora; Mustelidae.
GCAAAGAUACACAUGAAAAGUUCCUCAACAUCACUAGCUAUUAGGAAAUGCAAAUCAAAACCACAAUGAGAUAUCACAUCACACCU